CAUGCUUUUCCCACCUCCGUGUUAGAUGCGGGACAGUUUGUGUGUAUGUGUCUCAUAGUCUCAUAUUCUCUUGACAUCACAGCACUUUUGAACUUUGUGCUCUUUAGGAGGAGCAGGCCAACACCCACCUGACCAGGUACAGGAAGGUUCAACAUGAGAUGGAGGAGGCUCAGGAACGGGCCGACAUUGCCGAGUCGCAGGUCAACAAGCUGCGGGCCAAGAGUCGUGACUUUGCCAGGGGCAAGGAUGCUGAAGAAUGAACAUCAGUCACAAUAAGACACUGCAAGAAAUCAUAAAAUAUGAUCUUUUUGUUGUCUGAUGUGACAAGUGUGUAACAAAAUAAAGCUCCCAGCAAUCGUAUGA
Long non-coding RNA from Hippocampus comes (tiger tail seahorse), 363 nucleotides. RefSeq lists it as uncharacterized. Lineage: Eukaryota; Metazoa; Chordata; Actinopteri; Syngnathiformes; Syngnathidae. The transcript has 2 exons. The record is from RefSeq and is a predicted model, not a curated record.